Molecule: ribosomal RNA, 1271 nt
Filed under: metagenome
Description: bacterial LSU rRNA
Rfam family: Bacterial large subunit ribosomal RNA
Source: RNAcentral
AGAGAAUACUAAGGCGAUCGAGAGAACUGUGGUUAAGGAACUCGGCAAAAUGCCCCCGUAACUUCGGGAGAAGGGGGACCAGUCCUGGUGACGACAUUUACUGUCUGAGCUGGGGUUGGUCGCAGAGACCAGAGAGAAGCGACUGUUUACUAAAAACACAGGUCCGUGCGAAGUCGUAAGACGAUGUAUACGGACUGACGCCUGCCCGGUGCUGGAAGGUUAAGAGGACCGGUCAGCCACUUCGGUGGCGAAGCUGAGAAUUUAAGCCCCAGUAAACGGCGGUGGUAACUAUAACCAUCCUAAGGUAGCGAAAUUCCUUGUCGGGUAAGUUCCGACCUGCACGAAUGGCGUAACGACUUCUCUGCUGUCUCAACCACAGACUCGGCGAAAUUGCAGUACGAGUAAGGAUGCUCGUUACGCGCGGCAGGACGAAAGGACCCCGGGACCUUCACUAUAGCUUGGUAUUGGUGUUCGGUUCGGUUUGUGUAGGAUAGGUGGGAGACUGUGAAACUCGCACGCCAGUGUGGGUGGAGUCAUUGUUGAAAUACCACUCUGACCGUAUUGGACAUCUAACCUCGGACCAUGAUCUGGUUCAGGGACAGUGCCUGGUGGGUAGUUUAACUGGGGCGGUUGCCUCCCAAAAAGUAACGGAGGCGCCCAAAGGUUCCCUCAGCCUGGUUGGCAAUCAGGUGUUGAGUGUAAGUGCACAAGGGAGCUUGACUGUGAGACGUACAUGUCGAGCAGGGACGAAAGUCGGGACUAGUGAUCCGGCACCGGCAAGUGGAAGCGGUGUCGCUCAACGGAUAAAAGGUACCCCGGGGAUAACAGGCUGAUCUUCCCCAAGAGUCCAUAUCGACGGGAUGGUUUGGCACCUCGAUGUCGGCUCGUCGCAUCCUGGGGCUGGAGUAGGUCCCAAGGGUUGGGCUGUUCGCCCAUUAAAGCGGCACGCGAGCUGGGUUUAGAACGUCGUGAGACAGUUCGGUCUCUAUCCGCCGCGCGCGUAAGAAACUUGAGGAAACCUGUCCCUAGUACGAGAGGACCGGGACGGACGAACCUCUGGUGUGCCAGUUGUUCCACCAGGAGCACCGCUGGUUAGCUACGUUCGGAAGGGAUAACCGCUGAAAGCAUCUAAGCGGGAAGCCUGUUCCAAGAUGAGGUUUCUCACCACCUAGCGUGGUUAAGGCCCCCCACAGACCAUGGGGUUGAUAGGCCAGAACUGUAAGCACAGCAAUGUGUUCAGGUGACUGGUACUAAUCGGCCGAGGACUUACC